CUCUUGGUAUAUUUCUAAGUAACCUCUGCCCUAUGAUUUAUUUAAAUGGCCGCAGUACUUUGACUGUGCAAAGGUAGCAUAAUCACUUGCUUUUUAAUUAGGAGCUGGAAUGAAAGAGGCGACGAAAUCUAGACUAUUUAAAUUUUAAAAUAAAUUGACAAGUAGGUCAAAAGGCCUAUAUAGRCCAAAGGGACGAUAAGACCCUAUAAAACUUUACUUUUUACACGAURUUUGAUAGUGUAAUYUUAUGUUAAAGAGUUUAACUGGGGCGGUARUUAUAAAAACAAUUAUAUAUAAAAUAUAUUAAAUAGUAAAGUAGAACUCUUUAAGAAAUAGAAUAAGUUACUUUAGGGAUAACAGCGUAAUUCUCCCAGAGAGUCCUAAUUGGCGGGGGAGAUUACGACCUCGAUGUUGAAUUGGGAC
RNAcentral lists this ribosomal RNA (423 nucleotides) under Proasellus sp. n. Sanguiniere. RNAcentral describes it as "partial 16S ribosomal RNA". It matches the Rfam family "Bacterial large subunit ribosomal RNA", at positions 1832 to 2543 of the family's 2925-position model. The record is from RNAcentral. Lineage: Eukaryota; Metazoa; Arthropoda; Malacostraca; Isopoda; Asellidae.